GUUAAACUCCGACAAAGAUAAGAUUUUUUAUUUCCGCGAAACCAAAUAUUUAUUUCCCGAAACAUGCUGUAACAAGUUAUCAUAAAUUAGGAGGAUUCUGGAAAGUAAAUAUAUCAAACCACAAAUAUGGCUGGUAUUUUAGAUGCUUUUAGAGGACCUGGACCAUCAACACAUGUAGCAAGCAGGUAUCCACAUCCAGUUUGGGCAAAAGUAGAAGAAGAAAAGGUAUACGUAACUGAACAUAAUGAAGACCUACACACUGGUGUAAAUAUACCCGGUCAGGUUGGAUUAGAUGCAGGAAGAAAACAGAUAAGCAAAUAUCAGUGGGAUAAAAUUAAAGUUGGUUUCACGAGGAUUCUUCCAAAUAACGUUUUUAGAUUCGAUGUAGGGAAGGGAAAACUCUAUGUGUAUCUUACAGUUGUUGUGGAAGAAGGAGACGAAGAACUUCUCAUAUGUGAAGCCGUCCAGAAGAGAGCUGACUAUAGCGUAAUCAUUUCCAAAGAUGGUCAAGUAGUUGACUCGGUUUACGGCAAAAUUUGGGAAGAGGUUCAACACUGACGUUCUCUAUGCUCUUUGCUUCAUAAUCUGUAUAUUUUUUAUAACAAAUACAUUGAUAAUCUUAUACUGAAAACUCUGUAGUGCACAAUUAUAUUCAUACAAAGUUAGAUAGCAGUUUAUAAUAAUUGUGACGAUUUCUUUUACCCAAACGCUUGAUUUUGAAUUUAAUAGCGAAACUCAAUCUACCAUGAUUGAAAAAUAUAUCAUGUAAAUAAUUUUAAAAGCGUUUAUCUAUUAUAAAAAUAUAACAAUGUAUUUAAUGUAACAUUUAAUAUACGGACAGGAUAUUUUGACUAGAAACUAGAAAUGUAAUAUCAGGUUGCUAGGGAACAAAAGUGACAUCAUCGUCCACUUUUUAAAGAUACUCUAUAAGUUA
Mytilus californianus (California mussel) is the source of this 934-nucleotide long non-coding RNA. RefSeq lists it as uncharacterized. The transcript is spliced from 2 exons. NCBI's taxonomy places the organism in Eukaryota, Metazoa, Mollusca, Bivalvia, Mytilida, Mytilidae. The record is from RefSeq and is a predicted model, not a curated record.